AGUGAACGCUGGCGGUAGGCCUAACACAUGCAAGUCGAACGGCAGCACAGUAAGAGCUUGCUCUUACGGGUGGCGAGUGGCGGACGGGUGAGGAAUACAUCGGAAUCUACUUUUUCGUGGGGGAUAACGUAGGGAAACUUACGCUAAUACCGCAUACGACCUACGGGUGAAAGCAGGGGAUCUUCGGACCUUGCGCGAUUGAAUGAGUCGAUGUCGGAUUAGCUAGUUGGCGGGGUAAAGGCCCACCAAGGCGACGAUCCGUAGCUGGUCUGAGAGGAUGAUCAGCCACACUGGAACUGAGACACGGUCCAGACUCCUACGGGAGGCAGCAGUGGGGAAUAUUGGACAAUGGGCGCAAGCCUGAUCCAGCCAUACCGCGUGGGUGAAGAAGGCCUUCGGGUUGUAAAGCCCUUUUGUUGGGAAAGAAAAGCAGCAGGUUAAUACCCCGCUGUUCUGACGGUACCCAAAGAAUAAGCACCGGCCAACUUCGUG
This 492-nucleotide ribosomal RNA is filed under the name uncultured bacterium. RNAcentral describes it as "partial 16S ribosomal RNA". It matches the Rfam family "Bacterial small subunit ribosomal RNA", at positions 29 to 507 of the family's 1533-position model. The record is from RNAcentral.